This 429-nucleotide ribosomal RNA is filed under the name uncultured bacterium. RNAcentral's name for it is "bacterial SSU rRNA". It matches the Rfam family "Bacterial small subunit ribosomal RNA", at positions 340 to 786 of the family's 1533-position model. The record is from RNAcentral.
UACGGAAGGCAGCAGUGGGGAAUAUUGGACAAUGGGCGCAAGCCUGAUCCAGCCAUGCCGCGUGAGUGAUGAAGGCCCUAGGGUUGUAAAGCUCUUUCACCGGUGACGAUAAUGACGGUAACCGGAGAAGAAGCCCCGGCUAACUUCGUGCCAGCAGCCGCGGUAAUACGAAGGGGCUAGCGUUGUUCGGAAUUACUGGGCGUAAAGCGCACGUAGGCGGAUAUUUAAGUCAGGGGUGAAAUCCCGGGGCUCAACCCCGGAACGGCCUUUGAUACUGGAUGUCUUGAGUCCGGAAGAGGUGAGUGGAAUUGCGAGUGUAGAGGUGAAAUUCGUAGAUAUUCGCAGGAACACCAGUGGCGAAGGCGGCUCACUGGUUCGGAACUGACGCUGAGGUGCGAAAGCGUGGGGAGCAAACAGGGAUUAGAUACC